GAGGAUAACCCCGGGAAACCGGGGCUAAUACCGGAUAAUACUUUCUUUUGCAUAAAGGAAAGUUGAAAGGCGGCUUCGGCUGUCACUUACAGAUGGGCCCGCGGCGCAUUAGCUAGUUGGUGAGGUAACGGCUCACCAAGGCGACGAUGCGUAGCCGACCUGAGAGGGUGAUCGGCCACACUGGGACUGAGACACGGCCCAGACUCCUACGGGAGGCAGCAGUAGGGAAUCUUCCGCAAUGGACGAAAGUCUGACGGAGCAACGCCGCGUGAGUGAUGAAGGUUUUCGGAUCGUAAAACUCUGUUGUUAGGGAAGAACAAGUUGGGUAGUAACUGACCCAACCUUGACGGUACCUAACCAGAAAGCCACGGCUAACUACGUGCCAGCAGCCGCGGUAAUACGUAGGUGGCAAGCGUUGUCCGGAAUUAUUGGGCGUAAAGCGCUCGCAGGCGGUCCUUUAAGUCUGAUGUGAAAUCUCGCGGCUCAACCGCGAACGGUCAUUGGAAACUGGAGGACUUGAGUACAGAAGAGGAGAGUGGAAUUCCACGUGUAGCGGUGAAAUGCGUAGAGAUGUGGAGGAACACCAGUGGCGAAGGCGACUCUCUGGUCUGUAACUGACGCUGAGGAGCGAAAGCGUGGGGAGCGAACAGGAUUAGAUACCCUGGUAGUCCACGCCGUAAACGAUGAGUGCUAGGUGUUAGGGGGUUUCCGCCCCUUAGUGCUGAAGUAACGCAUUAAGCACUCCGCCUGGGGAGUACGGCCGCAAGGCUGAAACUCAAAAGAAUUGACGGGGGCCGCACAAGCGGUGGAGCAUGUGGUUAAUUCGAAGCACGCGAAGACCUUACAGGUCUUGACAUCCUCUGCAUUCUAGAGAUAGGAGUUCCUUCGGGACAGAGUGACAGGUGGUGCAUGGUGUCGUCAGCUCGUGUCGUGARAUGUUGGGUAAGUCCGCACGAGCGCAACCUUGAUCUUAGUGCCAGCAUUAUUGGGCU
RNAcentral lists this ribosomal RNA (992 nucleotides) under Oceanobacillus picturae. Its description in RNAcentral is "bacterial SSU rRNA". It matches the Rfam family "Bacterial small subunit ribosomal RNA", at positions 139 to 1137 of the family's 1533-position model. The record is from RNAcentral. Lineage: Bacteria; Bacillati; Bacillota; Bacilli; Caryophanales; Bacillaceae.